CAGACCAGCCUAAAAAUGUAUGUUUUAUAACUUUUUGUCAUUUUAACAACAAACAGAGCAGUAUUAAGAAUAUCAAACAUUGAGGGAACAGUUGGUCAUUUCUAAUUAUUGUCUGUGGUGGGAGUAGGAGCAAAUCAUCUACCUCCACUGAUGGACAUUCACAUGCAGCUGUGUAUUCUGAGUACACACUGCUAAAUUAAACUCUCUAAGAGUAAGACACAAAACAUAUAUAAUCCUAUAUCUGUCCUAUAUCAUUUACAGUCCUGCCAAAACCUCAAGUAAGCUACAAGACCACAUCUCCAGGAGUGAUCGAGGCUAACUGUACUGCCGUGGCCCGGCUACAGGCUGAAAUUGUGUGGAAUGUGGAGGGGGAUAACCGGACCAUUGGUCCACCUGUGACCACUGCUAUCCAGCAGAGUGACGGGACGACUCUGGUCAUCAGCACCUUGACCAUCCAGGCUGGACUCCUGGAGGAUGUCUCUGUCAAAUGUCUCUGUCAAAUGUCUUGUUCAUCAGACUGAAAACUGCCAUUGCUGUUUCCAUGAACUCUAAAAAGCCUGAAGAGCAUCAGGUACCGAGAAGACAGAGAGAGACAGACAAUUGAAUGUGGACAUUCACACAGCAGAUGAAAGGAUGUAAGUCCAGUGAGGUAGACUGAACACACAGUUGUUUUUCACUCUAGACUUUGGAUACUUUUAGGAAAUUAAAUAUCUUUUAGCGCAAUCUUUUUUAAUGUUUAAUGAUUAGGCCGACUGAACUAGAGAUAUAGAGACUAAGUAGAACUAUUUAAUUUAAGUUCUUCAGUCUCUGAGCCUAAAGCAAUGGUGGGAAAAGAGGUUGUGACCAGCUUGUCAAAGCAUUCGCUAUAUCAGUGGAAAUGCAUGAUCUGCAGUCUGGAGUGCAAUUAAAUUGCUGACAAAUAGUGUGGAUCAGCUGGUUUAAUUACUGGAAAAUCCUGUUGUUUUGAUCUUUGUAUUAAUACACAUGUGCAAGCCAGUGUAAUGAUAAGAACUGAUAAAAAGUGAAAGGUUUUAUUUUGUCCUGUGUGUGUUAAAUGUUUUGUCAUAUUUCUGAGGAUGUGAGAGUAUAGGCCACACUCAAAAUGAAUAAAUUCACUCUAAAUUCUUUCUAUUCAGUAACAUAAUGUACAUAAUGUGAA
Molecule: long non-coding RNA, 1159 nt
Organism: Cyprinus carpio (common carp)
Lineage: Eukaryota; Metazoa; Chordata; Actinopteri; Cypriniformes; Cyprinidae
Source: RefSeq, a predicted model, not a curated record